Cryptomeria japonica (Japanese cedar) is the source of this 105-nucleotide small nuclear RNA. The record is from RefSeq and is a predicted model, not a curated record. Lineage: Eukaryota; Viridiplantae; Streptophyta; Pinopsida; Cupressales; Cupressaceae.
AAGAGAUUCAGGCUAUUAUUUUGGCACAUGAAACGAUACAGAGAAGAUUUCCAUGGCCCCUGCGCAAGGAUUAUAUUAUUUUGGCAUACUACAAAUAAAACUUGU